Molecule: long non-coding RNA, 1096 nt
Filed under: Monodelphis domestica (gray short-tailed opossum)
Lineage: Eukaryota; Metazoa; Chordata; Mammalia; Didelphimorphia; Didelphidae
Description: lncRNA (ENSMODG00000034349.2)
Source: RNAcentral
UACUAUNCUCCCUCCCUUUCUUCCUUCCUUCCUUCCUUCCUACCUUCCUUCCUUCCUUCCUUCCUUCCUUCCUUCCUUCCUUCCUUCCUUCCUUCCUUCCUUCCUUCCUUCCUCCCUCCCUCCCUCCCUCCCUCCCUCCCUCCCUCCUUCCUUCCUUCCUUCCUUCCUUUCUUCCUUCAGUUCUCUCUGUCUCUCCUCCCUCCCUCCAUCCCUUCCAUCUUAGGAUCACUACUGGGUAUUGGUUCCAAAGCAGAAGAGUGGUAAGGGCUGGGCAAUGGGGCUGAAGUGACUUGGCCCGGAUCACACAGCUAGGAAGCAUCUAAGGUCAAAUUUGAACCCAGGAUCUCCCAUCUCUGGGCCUGGCUCUCCAUCCACUGAACUUCUUUCUUUCCUUCUUUCCUUUUUUCCUGCCCCUAAACUCAGCAGUUAUAGCUGGACUGACUCCAGGGCCUGAAGGUCUCCUCUCUGAACACACUCACUCACUCACUCGCCUGUGUUUUCCUCCCCAUCCCGCUUGCCCCAGCCUAGGCUGUGCUGCCUUUUUCUGCUCCAGAGCAGCUGUUUUGUCUCCUCCUGUCAUUCACCUCUCCAGCCACUUCCGGGUCCUGUCCAUUUCUGAACGCUGGGCUAAGAAGCUUAGUGACCCUGGGAGGUCAGGCCAUUAUUAUGCUUAUAUCUGUGAUCAGGAAACCAGGGAAACUGCCUGGCCCCAGGGGCUGCCCACUACUGCUCUAUGGCUGGGCUGGGAUUUGCCCUUGGCUCUUCCUGACCAUCUACUGUGUGCUGGCAAGUGCCUACUAUGUGCAGUGUGAAUGCCCCCAGCUAGACUAUUGCUGGCCUCUGUCCUGGAGGAGCUUGGGGGCCAAUGAGGAGGACGGCAAAUUCCCUCCUUGGCCAUGCCUGAAAACCUAUCUGUCUCUGCAUCUGAAGUUCAUCACUAAGAGUGUUGGAGGCGGAUGGAUGCAGAUCCCAGUGUGCCGUCUUUCCUGUCUAUGAUUUUAUUGGGGCCCUUGGUCACGUGGGGGUACGCUCUUACAACAAUGACCAACAUGGAAGUGGGUUUUGCAUGGCAAUAAAAAUAAAAUUAAAAUGAACA